This 450-nucleotide ribosomal RNA is filed under the name uncultured bacterium. RNAcentral's name for it is "partial 16S ribosomal RNA". It matches the Rfam family "Bacterial small subunit ribosomal RNA", at positions 354 to 796 of the family's 1533-position model. The record is from RNAcentral.
GUGGGGAAUUUUGGACAAUGGGCGCAAGCCUGAUCCAGCAAUGCCGCGUGCAGGAAGAAGGCCUUCGGGUUGUAAACUGCUUUUGUACGGAACGAAACGGUCCUGGUUAAUACCCGGGGCUAAUGACGGUACCGUAAGAAUAAGCACCGGCUAACUACGUGCCAGCAGCCGCGGUAAUACGUAGGGUGCAAGCGUUAAUCGGAAUUACUGGGCGUAAAGCGUGCGCAGGCGGUUUUGUAAGACAGGCGUGAAAUCCCCGGGCUCAACCUGGGAAUGGCGCUUGUGACUGCAAGGCUGGAGUGCGGCAGAGGGGGAUGGAAUUCCGCGUGUAGCAGUGAAAUGCGUAGAUAUGCGGAGGAACACCGAUGGCGAAGGCAAUCCCCUGGGCCUGCACUGACGCUCAUGCACGAAAGCGUGGGGAGCAAACAGGAUUAGAAACCCGAGUAGUCC